GAGUUUGAUCAUGGCUCAGGAUGAACGCUGGCGGCGUGCUUAACACAUGCAAGUCGAACGAACCUUCGGGUUAGUGGCGGACGGGUGAGUAACGCGUGAGAAUCUGCCCUCAGGAGGGGGAUAACGGUUGGAAACGACCGCUAAUACCCCAUAUGCCGCGAGGUGAAAUGAAUUUCGCCUGAGGAUGAGCUCGCGUCUGAUUAGCUAGUUGGUGGGGUAAAGGCUUACCAAGGCAUCGAUCAGUAGCUGGUCUGAGAGGAUGAUCAGCCACACUGGGACUGAGACACGGCCCAGACUCCUACGGGAGGCAGCAGUGGGGAAUUUUCCGCAAUGGGCGAAAGCCUGACGGAGCAACGCCGCGUGAGGGAUGAAGGCCUCUGGGCUGUAAACCUCUUUUAUCAAGGAAGAAGAUCUGACGGUACUUGAUGAAUAAGCCACGGCUAAUUCCGUGCCAGCAGCCGCGGUAAUACGGGAGUGGCAAGCGUUAUCCGGAAUUAUUGGGCGUAAAGCGUCCGCAGGCGGCCCUUCAAGUCUGCUGUUAAAAAGUGGAGCUUAACUCCAUCAUGGCAGUGGAAACUGUUGGGCUUGAGUGUGGUAGGGGCAGAGGGAAUUCCCGGUGUAGCGGUGAAAUGCGUAGAUAUCGGGAAGAACACCAGUGGCGAAGGCGCUCUGCUGGGCCAUCACUGACGCUCAUGGACGAAAGCCAGGGGAGCGAAAGGGAUUAGAUACCCCUGUAGUCCUGGCCGUAAACGAUGAACACUAGGUGUCGGGGGAAUCGACCCCCUCGGUGUCGUAGCCAACGCGUUAAGUGUUCCGCCUGGGGAGUACGCACGCAAGUGUGAAACUCAAAGGAAUUGACGGGGGCCCGCACAAGCGGUGGAGUAUGUGGUUUAAUUCGAUGCAACGCGAAGAACCUUACCAGGGUUUGACAUCCUGCGAAUCUCUUGGAAACGAGAGAGUGCCUUCGGGAACGCAGUGACAGGUGGUGCAUGGCUGUCGUCAGCUCGUGUCGUGAGAUGUUGGGUUAAGUCCCGCAACGAGCGCAACCCACGUCUUUAGUUGCCAGCAUUUAGUUGGGCACUCUAGAGAGACCGCCGGUGAUAAACCGGAGGAAGGUGUGGAUGACGUCAAGUCAUCGUGCCCCUUACAUCCUGGGCUACACACGUACUACAAUGCUACGGACAAAGGGCAGCAAGUUCGCGAGGACAAGCAAAUCCCAUAAACCGUGGCUCAGUUCAGAUCGUAGGCUGCAACUCGCCUACGUGAAGGAGGAAUCGCUAGUAAUCGCAGGUCAGCAUACUGCGGUGAAUACGU
RNAcentral lists this ribosomal RNA (1314 nucleotides) under unidentified marine bacterioplankton. RNAcentral describes it as "bacterial SSU rRNA". It matches the Rfam family "Bacterial small subunit ribosomal RNA", at positions 9 to 1371 of the family's 1533-position model. The record is from RNAcentral.